This 426-nucleotide ribosomal RNA is filed under the name uncultured bacterium. Its description in RNAcentral is "bacterial SSU rRNA". It matches the Rfam family "Bacterial small subunit ribosomal RNA", at positions 354 to 796 of the family's 1533-position model. The record is from RNAcentral.
GUGAGGAAUUUUCCGCAAUGGGCGAAAGCCUGACGGAGCAAUGCCGCGUGAAGGAUGAAGGCCUAUGGGUUGUAAACUUCUUUUCUCAGAAAAGAAUUAUGACGGUAUCUGAGGAAUAAGCAUCGGCUAACUCUGUGCCAGCAGCCGCGGUAAGACAGAGGAUGCAAGCGUUAUCCGGAAUGAUUGGGCGUAACGCGUCUGUAGGUUGUUUAAAAAGUAUUCUGUCAAAGAUUAGGGCUUAACCCUAGAUAGGCAGAAUAAACUUUUAAGCUAGAGUUUGGUAGAGGCAGAGGGAAUUCCCGGUGGAGCGGUGAAAUGCGUAGAUAUCGGGAGGAACACCAAAGGCGAAGGCACUCUGCUGGGCCAAUACUAACACUGAGAGACGAAAGCGAGGGGAGCAAAUGGGAUUAGAAACCCCGGUAGUCC